This 314-nucleotide ribosomal RNA is filed under the name uncultured bacterium. Its description in RNAcentral is "bacterial SSU rRNA". It matches the Rfam family "Bacterial small subunit ribosomal RNA", at positions 28 to 334 of the family's 1533-position model. The record is from RNAcentral.
GAUGAACGCUGACAGAAUGCUUAACACAUGCAAGUCGAGGGGCAGCAUGGGCUUAGCUUGCUAAGCCCGAUGGCGACCGGCGCACGGGUGAGUAACACGUAUCCAACCUUCCGGUAACUCCGGUAUAGCCUUUCGAAAGAAAGAUUAAUCCCGGAUAGUAUGGUGAUUCCGCAUGAUUUCUCCAUUAAAGGAUUCCGGUUACCGAUGGGGAUGCGUUCCAUUAGGCAGUUGGCGGGGUAACGGCCCACCAAACCUACGAUGGAUAGGGGUUCUGAGAGGAAGGUCCCCCACAUUGGAACUGAGACACGGUCCAA